UUUCAACUUGGCAGAAAAAUGCGAUAAAUUUAGAAUUUAUUAAUGAAAAUCUUUCAGUUGAAAA
This 64-nucleotide transfer RNA is filed under the name Dermacentor rhinocerinus. RNAcentral describes it as "tRNA-Leu". Lineage: Eukaryota; Metazoa; Arthropoda; Arachnida; Ixodida; Ixodidae. The record is from RNAcentral.